This 326-nucleotide long non-coding RNA is filed under the name Marmota monax (woodchuck). The record is from RNAcentral. Lineage: Eukaryota; Metazoa; Chordata; Mammalia; Rodentia; Sciuridae.
CCCAGCGGGGCUUCUAACUGACAGUUGUCGCCAGGCCCCGUCCGUGCGCCGCCUCCUCCUGCCCGGGUCCCCCACAGGUAGCGAGGGGCGGGAGGGGGUGUGAGGGAGAGGAGGAGCCGGAGCCGCCGCGGCCCAGUGCUGCGGCCCACUCCAGGGAGGCGAGGGGAGAACCCCCUUUACUCCUCGCCCCCUCCCAGUCCCUCGCCGGUCCGGGAGGGGGUGGGGCGCCGAGGCCGCGGCCGCCCGGCUGGGCCCGGCCGGUGGAGAGAGGGAGGGCGAGGCGCGGAGGGGUGAAGCCGGCGAGGGCCGCGCGCGCCACCGCCGGG